Molecule: ribosomal RNA, 497 nt
Filed under: uncultured bacterium
Lineage: Bacteria
Description: partial 16S ribosomal RNA
Rfam family: Bacterial small subunit ribosomal RNA
Source: RNAcentral
ACUCAAAGGAAUUGACGGGGGCCCGCACAAGCGGCGGAGCAUGCGGAUUAAUUCGAUGCAACGCGAAGAACCUUACCUGGGUUUGACAUCGCCGGAAAUCUCGUAGAGAUACGGGGUCCUUCGGGGCCGGUGACAGGUGGUGCAUGGCUGUCGUCAGCUCGUGUCGUGAGAUGUUGGGUUAAGUCCCGCAACGAGCGCAACCCUUAUCCCAUGUUGCCAGCGGGUUAUGCCGGGGACUCAUGGGAGACUGCCGGGGUCAACUCGGAGGAAGGUGGGGAUGACGUCAAGUCAUCAUGCCCCUUAUGUCCAGGGCUUCACGCAUGCUACAAUGGCCGGUACAAACCGUUGCGAGCCCGUGAGGGGGAGCGAAUCGGAAAAAGCCGGUCUCAGUUCGGAUCGGGGUCUGCAACUCGACCCCGUGAAGUCGGAGUCGCUAGUAAUCGCAGAUCAGCAUUGCUGCGGUGAAUACGUUCCCGGGCCUUGUACACACCGCCCGU